UGGGAGGGCCUGUGGCCGCAGGGACGGACAAAGCAGGGGAUCUCACCGAGGCCUGGCCCGCUCUCGCUGUGGAUGCCUGGGUUGUCAAGGUGGCGAGCGGCAGAGGGCCGACGGAGAAGGGGAUUAGGAAUGUCGCAAUCGGUGUGGACGCCGAGACCUGGUGUGUUCCCAUCUGAUCCCUCUGUCCUCAGAUUUGCUUGCUCAUUGUCGAUACAAAUUUCAUGUUGUAUGAGCCCUGCUCAACGAUAGCAGAUUCCUUUACGCGUCAGAUUGACUGAACUGCUGUUCCGCUCUCCUCUACGGUUUGCUCCUUCAAUCCCACAGUAGCGCCAAACACACAAGCAAGUUUGCCACGUCUGUCCUGGUGUUCUUCAUCUCUUUGGUUUUUCGUUCAUGUGCGCCAUGCCAAAUUGGAGAAAUUGUGGCCGUUGGGAUUUAACUUGAAAGCAUCAUUUAUUCUUCAACUAGCUGGCUACCUCGAGGGCACGUCGUUGAAGAAUGAAUUGGAUGGCAUAAGGUUACUGUUCCUUUCUAAGCAGUGGCUGCUCUCCUUUAUUUAUGAAUACAUUGAAAUUUUUAGAAUAUUUAUUUUGCUGUUUUUAGAUGCUCUAGGUUGUUCAGACUUCAGACAAAAUGUAGCUGCUUUUUUGAAACCACAGGCUUGCUUUCCACCUUUCGCAUGGCAAACAAACUGACGAUGCUCUCCUUUAUUUAUGAAUACAUUGAAAUUUUUAGCAUAUUUAUUUUGCUGUUUUUAGAUGCUCUAGGUUGUUCAGACUUCAGACAAAAAGUAGCUGCUUAUUUGAAACCACAGGCUUGCUUUCAACCUUCCGCAUGGCAAACAAACUGACGACUUGAUAUGAGAAGAGGACGCUACUUGGUCAGCCCUAAAACCUGAGCUCUUCUGCAAUAGAUGACAGGCCAUAUCGAACAUUAUGGCAGUGACUUUUACAGUAAAUCCAGAGCUUUUUUUCAGUAUAUAUGGCAGACCAUUUUUUUGCAGUGGAGAGAUGUGAAGGGGAAAUGGAGGAGGACGUACCUUGAGGCGGAUUCUGAACAGAGUGCAGCGAUAUGCUCAUCGAGGGCCAUAUCGAACAUUAGUUGUUAUCAGUGGAAGUUCUUUUUAAUGAUUUAUCUUGAAAUGGUAACUAUAUACAUUCAACUGCAUAUGUGUUGUUCUUUUCAACUAAGAUACACUUCAGAGUUCCUCCGAGUAGUAGGAUUCCUGAGUAGUUCGUCAAGUGAUCUUUCCAUGUCAAGACAUGUGUUAUUCUAGAGAUAAUGCAUAUAUAUGCUGAAGAUAGACCUUUUGAUAGUUAAGGAUGCAUGGGAUUGUAUCUUGCACUAAAAUUCAGUUUAUAAGAUGAAGCAUGUUUAA
Molecule: long non-coding RNA, 1378 nt
Organism: Lolium rigidum
Lineage: Eukaryota; Viridiplantae; Streptophyta; Magnoliopsida; Poales; Poaceae
Exons: 3
Source: RefSeq, a predicted model, not a curated record